GGCAGCAGUGGGGAAUCUUGCACAAUGGAGGAAACUCUGAUGCAGCGAUGCCGCGUGAGUGAAGAAGGCCCUUGGGUUGUAAAGCUCUUUCGUCGGGGAAGAAAAUGACUGUACCCGAAUAAGAAGGUCCGGCUAACUUCGUGCCAGCAGCCGCGGUAAUACGAAGGGACCUAGCGUAGUUCGGAAUUACUGGGCUUAAAGAGUUCGUAGGUGGUUAAAAAAGUUAGUGGUGAAAUCCCAGAGCUUAACUCUGGAACUGCCAUUAAAACUUUUUAGCUAGAGUAUGAUAGAGGAAAGCAGAAUUUCUAGUGUAGAGGUGAAAUUCGUAGAUAUUAGAAAGAAUACCAAUUGCGAAGGCAGCUUUCUGGAUCAUUACUGACACUGAGGAACGAAAGUAUGGGUAGCGAAGAGGAUUAGAUACCCUCGUAGUCCAUGCCGUAAACGAUGUGUGUUAGACGUUGGAAAUUUAUUUUCAGUGUCGCAGGGAAACCGAUAAACACACCGCCUGGGGAGUACGACCGCAAGGUUAAAACUCAAAUGAAUUGACGGGGACCCGCACAAGUAGUGGAGCAUGUGGUUUAAUUCGAAGAUACGCGCAGAACCUUACCAACACUUGACAUGUUCGUCGCGACUCUAAGAGAUUAGAGUUUUCGGUUCGGCCGGACGAAACACAGGUGCUGCAUGGCUGUCGUCAGCUCGUGUCGUGAGAUGUUGGGUUAAGUCCCGCAACGAGCGCAACCCUCACUUUUAGUUGCCAUCAUUAAGUUGGGCACUCUGAAAGAACUGCCAGUGAUAAGCUGGAGGAAGGUGGGGAUGACGUCAAGUCCUCAUGG
This 833-nucleotide ribosomal RNA is filed under the name uncultured bacterium. RNAcentral's name for it is "bacterial SSU rRNA". It matches the Rfam family "Bacterial small subunit ribosomal RNA", at positions 347 to 1198 of the family's 1533-position model. The record is from RNAcentral.